This 364-nucleotide unclassified non-coding RNA is filed under the name fungal sp. RNAcentral describes it as "partial internal transcribed spacer region". The stretch from base 1 to 46 matches the Rfam family "Eukaryotic small subunit ribosomal RNA", at positions 1786 to 1831 of the family's 1831-position model. Lineage: Eukaryota; Fungi. The record is from RNAcentral.
AAGUCGUAACAAGGUUUCCGUAGGUGAACCUGCGGAAGGAUCAUUAACACGUAUCCAACGUUAAACAACCCCGUGAACCUUCAGCCUGCUCUCGUAGCCCACUGUUACGAUGUGAGAAGUUACAGUUACGAUCGAGCGGUAGAGUCAGUGGCAUGGCGUCCCCAAGCAGAAUCCAGAGAAUGAAAGGAUCACUGGCUGCGCAAGGAUAACGCCUCACGGUUGCUAGAGGUCGAUCACCGACCGGCAGACAUGUCACAGGGUCCCCAUGCCCCUUACCUCACCCCACUACUAAUGACUAGCUUAGCGGUAACGCGCUGAGUAAAAAAAAACCGAACAACUGUUAACAAUGGAUAUCUUGGUUCUC